UAAAUAUAUUUCAAAAAUCAUGUCUUCAUGUACUGUCACAUUUGGAAUUAUGCACAAACAUCCAAACCUUAUUGUGGUUCAAAACAUGUGAAAGACAAAUUCCUUAAAAGUUUCACACCCUGCCUAGGGCAAAAGGCAAGCAUUUCCUUAUCAUGCAAGAAAUAUCAUAAAGCAAUUAAAUUAACUUAAAGACCUCAUCUCUCGAAAGGAUAUUACAGAAAGCCAAAUGGUCCUUGUAAAUAGUUUUAUAUUACAAAACUAUGUCAUGACAAAAGUUUCUAAUUGCUUUCUGCAAAAUAACUUAAAAGAUGCUUGGCUGAAAAAUGUUGUAAACACAUUCCAAAAAUUAUGCCAGAAAGGGCCCUAAUGACUGCAUCUGCACUAGAACCUUCAAUAGAAGUAUUGCACUUUAAGUCGAACCGUACAGCCACCUUCAGUAGGCAGAAACUUAGCAUAUGUUGUGGCACAAAGAUGAAUUAUUCUCAAGUACACAUGCAAUCAUAAUUCACAAGGAUUACAAGAAAAAAAGGUUUAAUUGUGCUUCCAAUUCCAUUACAAAACACUGUG
RNAcentral lists this unclassified non-coding RNA (567 nucleotides) under Hevea brasiliensis (rubber tree). Lineage: Eukaryota; Viridiplantae; Streptophyta; Magnoliopsida; Malpighiales; Euphorbiaceae. The record is from RNAcentral.